UACAGAGGGUGCAAGCGUUAAUCGGAAUUACUGGGCGUAAAGCGCACGUAGGCGGUUUUUUAAGUCAGAUGUGAAAGCCCCGGGCUCAACCUGGGAAUUGCAUUUGAAACUGGAACACUAGAGUGUGUGAGAGGGGGGUAGAAUUCCAAGUGUAGCGGUGAAAUGCGUAGAGAUUUGGAGGAAUACCAGUGGCGAAGGCGGCCCCCUGGCACAACACUGACGCUCAGGUGCGAAAGCGUGGGGAGCAAACAGG
RNAcentral lists this ribosomal RNA (253 nucleotides) under uncultured bacterium. Its description in RNAcentral is "partial 16S ribosomal RNA". It matches the Rfam family "Bacterial small subunit ribosomal RNA", at positions 524 to 776 of the family's 1533-position model. The record is from RNAcentral.